This 428-nucleotide ribosomal RNA is filed under the name uncultured bacterium. Its description in RNAcentral is "partial 16S ribosomal RNA". It matches the Rfam family "Bacterial small subunit ribosomal RNA", at positions 354 to 796 of the family's 1533-position model. The record is from RNAcentral.
GUGGGGAAUAUUGGGCAAUGGGCGCAAGCCUGACCCAGCAACGCCGCGUGAAGGAAGAAGGCUUUCGGGUUGUAAACUUCUUUUACCAGGGACGAAACAAAUGACGGUACCUGGUGAAUAAGCCACGGCUAACUACGUGCCAGCAGCCGCGGUAAUACGUAGGUGGCGAGCGUUAUCCGGAUUUAUUGGGUGUAAAGGGCGUGUAGGCGGGACAGCAAGUCAGAUGUGAAAACCAGAGGCUCAACCUCUGGCCUGCAUUUGAAACUGUUGUUCUUGAGUGUCGGAGAGGUAAUCGGAAUUCCGUGUGUAGCGGUGAAAUGCGUAGAUAUACGGAGGAACACCAGUGGCGAAGGCGGAUUACUGGACUGUAACUGACGUUGAGGCUCGAAAGCGUGGGGAGCAAACAGGAUUAGAAACCCGAGUAGUCC